Molecule: ribosomal RNA, 442 nt
Filed under: uncultured bacterium
Lineage: Bacteria
Description: partial 16S ribosomal RNA
Rfam family: Bacterial small subunit ribosomal RNA
Source: RNAcentral
CCUACGGGAGGCAGCAGUGGGGAAUAUUGGGCAAUGGAGGCAACUCUGACCCAGCAACGCCGCGUGAAUGAUGAAGGUCUUCGGAUUGUAAAGUUCUUUUCUUCGGGAAGAAGAAAGUGACGGUUCCUUAGGAAUAGCCUCGGCUAACUACGUGCCAACAGCUGCGGUAAUACGGAGGAGGCAAGCGAUAUCCGGCAUGACUGGGCGUAAAGGGUGCGUAGGUGGUUUGGCAAGUUAGUAGCGCAACUCCGGGGCUCAACUCCGGACCGACUACUGAAACUGUUGGACUUGAGUGCAGGAGAGGCAAGCGGAAUUCCUAGUGUAGCGGUGGAAUGCGUAGAUAUUAGGAGGAACACCAGUGGCGAAGGCGGAUUGCUAGCCUGUAACUGACGCUGAGGCACGAAAGCGUGGGUAGCAAACAGGAUUAGAUACCCGUGUAGUC